RNAcentral lists this long non-coding RNA (346 nucleotides) under Bos indicus x Bos taurus (hybrid cattle). Its description in RNAcentral is "lncRNA (ENSBIXG00000017348.1)". Lineage: Eukaryota; Metazoa; Chordata; Mammalia; Artiodactyla; Bovidae. The record is from RNAcentral.
CAGCAUACUCUAGAGACAUAGUGAGUGACAACACCACAGGGAAUUGGCCUCUCAGUUCUGAGACUGUCUCCAGCCAGUCUGCCAAUAAGUCUUCUCAUAAGCACCCCCUCAGCUGGAUCUAAAGCCUUCCCGGCAUUGUGAGUCAGCCCGAGAGGGACAGGAAAACUGCUGUAUGGGCCCUGAGGCUUCAGACAGCCUUUUUAUGAAAGAACCCAGAUGACUCGGAGGAGUGAGAGAAGAGAGAAGGGGAAGGAGAGCUAAGGUGUAUUCAGUCCCCGGGUCUCUGGGGCCAGCCUCUCUGACUGUGCUCCCUGUCCUAGCAGGCUAGCAGGCUGCCAGUGUGACC